RNAcentral lists this ribosomal RNA (448 nucleotides) under uncultured Fastidiosipila sp. RNAcentral describes it as "bacterial SSU rRNA". It matches the Rfam family "Bacterial small subunit ribosomal RNA", at positions 923 to 1382 of the family's 1533-position model. The record is from RNAcentral. Lineage: Bacteria; Bacillati; Bacillota; Clostridia; Eubacteriales; Oscillospiraceae.
GCACAAGCGGUGGAGUAUGUGGUUUAAUUCGAUGCAACGCGAAGAACCUUACCUGGGUUGGAAACCCCUGGAAUCCUGCAGAGAUGUGGGAGUGCUCUUUAGAGAAUCAGGUGUCCAGGUGCUGCAUGGUUGUCGUCAGCUCGUGUCGUGAGAUGUUGGGUUAAGUCCCGCAACGAGCGCAACCCUCGCUGUGUGUUACAAGUGUCACACAGGACCGCCGGUCUUAAGCCGGAGGAAGGUGGGGAUGACGUCAAGUCAGCAUGGCCUUUAUGUCCAGGGCUACACACACGCUACAAUGGUCAGCACAAUAGGUAGCCAAGCCGCGAGGUGGAGCCAAUCCUCAAAGCUGGCCUCAGUUCAGAUCGCAGGCUGCAACCCGCCUGCAUGAAGUUGGAGUUGCUAGUAAACGCAGGUCAGCCAUACUGCGUUGAAUACGUUCCCGGGGCUU